GUUCAUGACUGGGGUGAAGUCGUAACAAGGUAGCGCUAGGGGAACCUGGCGCUGGAUCACCUCCUUACACGAUGAU
This 76-nucleotide ribosomal RNA is filed under the name Vibrio cholerae. Its description in RNAcentral is "partial 16S ribosomal RNA". The stretch from base 1 to 67 matches the Rfam family "Bacterial small subunit ribosomal RNA", at positions 1467 to 1533 of the family's 1533-position model. The record is from RNAcentral. RNAcentral also lists the same sequence under 1 other name. Lineage: Bacteria; Pseudomonadati; Pseudomonadota; Gammaproteobacteria; Vibrionales; Vibrionaceae.